UUGCUUAUGAAAGGUUUAAGGAAGCAAUAACAUUUCCAAAUAAGGAAGAGGCAUAAGCUAUGAGCUAAGACUUGCCUGGGCCUGUCCAGACAUGCCUGGGUAAGACAAAGCAACUAACUGGGCUAAAGUGUAAGAACUAAUAGUUGAUAGGAGGCUUUAGAGUAAGAAGCUAUUAUUUCUAGUGUCUAUUAUUUUAUUUUUAAACCAAGACAAGCUUUGAAGGGAACUUUUUUACUUUCUACAGUGUGUGACACAUGUGCUCAUGGAUUAUUGUCCGAAGCAAGUCAUGUGACCAAGCUUAACAUCAACUGGGUGAAGAGCUAUAUGUUCCUUUCUCAAGAGGCACUACAAGUGACAUGCCAACGGGCAGCAUUGUAUUUUUUGCACAUAUGGAAAAGAGAAAAACAAAUAUGAAAACGUAAAUCUAAGAGUUACCAAGGUGAGGCAAUGAAAAGCCAAUCUGUAAUUGUCUGCUCUUUCUUACCCUGCUGCUAACUACUGAGGAAACUGCUACAGAUGGCAGAGCCUCCAUCAAGCCAGGUGGACUGAGUAGCGCAAACUCUCUCUUUACCCGUGUUGGACAGGUAACGUGAGGAAAAGUAAACUAUUGUUUUAAGCCACUGAGGUUUGAAGAUGGUUUGUUACUGUAGCAUAUUAUAGUCAGACUUGAUUAAUAGAUGAGGCCUCUAGGUAAUUUUCUUUGGGAUUUUCUUUGGAAAAAUCCAAAGAAAAUAUUUGCCCUUCUAACUGUCUUUUAAAAUUAAAAUAAAUUAUGAACCAAAAAAAUUAUUUCUUAUAUCUAUUUGGCUGACAUCACAGCUAAUAUUAGAU
Molecule: long non-coding RNA, 831 nt
Organism: Pan troglodytes (chimpanzee)
Lineage: Eukaryota; Metazoa; Chordata; Mammalia; Primates; Hominidae
Source: Ensembl